RNAcentral lists this ribosomal RNA (751 nucleotides) under uncultured Comamonadaceae bacterium. RNAcentral's name for it is "bacterial SSU rRNA". It matches the Rfam family "Bacterial small subunit ribosomal RNA", at positions 28 to 776 of the family's 1533-position model. Lineage: Bacteria; Pseudomonadati; Pseudomonadota; Betaproteobacteria; Burkholderiales; Comamonadaceae. The record is from RNAcentral.
AUUGAACGCUGGCGGCAUGCCUUACACAUGCAAGUCGAACGGUAACAGGUCUUCGGAUGCUGACGAGUGGCGAACGGGUAAGUAAUACAUCGGAACGUGCCCGAUCGUGGGGGAUAACGAAGCGAAAGCUUUGCUAAUACCGCAUACGAUCUACGGAUGAAAGCAGGGGACCGCAAGGCCUUGCGCGAACGGAGCGGCCGAUGGCAGAUUAGGUAGUUGGUGGGAUAAAAGCUUACCAAGCCGACGAUCUGUAGCUGGUCUGAGAGGACGACCAGCCACACUGGGACUGAGACACGGCCCAGACUCCUACGGGAGGCAGCAGUGGGGAAUUUUGGACAAUGGGCGAAAGCCUGAUCCAGCCAUGCCGCGUGCAGGAUGAAGGCCUUCGGGUUGUAAACUGCUUUUGUACGGAACGAAAAGACUCUGGUUAAUACCUGGGGUCCAUGACGGUACCGUAAGAAUAAGCACCGGCUAACUACGUGCCAGCAGCCGCGGUAAUACGUAGGGUGCAAGCGUUAAUCGGAAUUACUGGGCGUAAAGCGUGCGCAGGCGGUUAUAUAAGACAGAUGUGAAAUCCCCGGGCUCAACCUGGGAACUGCAUUUGUGACUGUAUAGCUAGAGUACGGCAGAGGGGGAUGGAAUUCCGCGUGUAGCAGUGAAAUGCGUAGAUAUGCGGAGGAACACCGAUGGCGAAGGCAAUUCCCUGGGCCUGUACUGACGCUCAUGCACGAAAGCGUGGGGAGCAAACAGG